CAGUUAUCAUGUUACCCAGAGGGUAAGAUGUUACAGCUGAAAGGUAGGCUUUACAAUUUUUUUAUUAUUUCCAGCCUAUCAAACAGAGUAAAUGUAUUAGAGAGAUUAUGCCUAAGAUAAAAGAAAAGAUAAAAGAAGAGGCUGAAUUUUUAAAAAAUCUGUUAGGAUGGAAUAUCAGUUAUUUGUGAAAUCACUGUGUUAUAUAAUAGGACUCAAAUUUCUAACUUAGAUAAGUGAAUUUGGACAAAUGGUGGUCUUUUGAGUCUAAAUUUUUUCACUUAUAAAAAGAAGUUGGAAUAGACGAUUUUUAAUAUUCUUCUACCUCAUGACUUCCAGCAUAACUAGAUAGGUACUCUUAUAUUUGAGGAGUUUAGAGGUCAUCUAACUUUGUUCAAGUACAUAAUUUUACAGAUGAUGAUGUAGAGGUUCAGAAUCCUUCCAGUGUCUUACCCAAAGCUGAGCCUAGAAUCCAUGUAUCCUGAUUUCUCUUUUCACUCCACCAUUUAAUUAUCUUCCCAAACUAUAAAAUCUUCUGAAUUACUCCUUUGGCUGUUGUAUGCAUACUUUAUAGGCUAAAUGCCUUAUAUAUUUAAAACUGUUGCAUUAAAUUUGCACCUUCAAAGGAUCUUUAAAUUACUUCCCAGCCAGAAGUUCCCACACAGCAGAUACCAUUUAUAUUUCUUAUUCUGGGCCUGAGUUUCUGUAUGUUUGGAAGUAGUCUCAUUGAGUCAUAAAAUGCGAUCAUGAGUGUAAAAAUAUGUGGAAAGCUGUAAAGCAUCUAUGACGACACUUUUGGUUGGCUACUCGGUAUUAAUUCUCAACCCAUCCUCCCUUGUUCACCGCAUGCUUUUUGGUGCCACAUGAUCUUCUUCUAACCAAUGAGUCUGCUGAGGAGGCCUCUGGGGAAGAUUGCAUUCUCUGAUAAAAGGAGGCAUGAGAGAACAGUUCUUCUACCAUUCUGGCUGCCUUUGAACACAUUCUUGAAGGAUGAAAUGUUUGGAACUGUGCUGUGGAGCUCCUCAGCUCUCUAUUAGAAUAUAUCAUUUGUUUCUCUAUGGAUGCUGUGAGAUACCCCAGGAAAUGCUCCACUAGCUGAAAAACUGUCAUCACAGUCUUCAUUACAGAAAGGUAUAAAAUAAACAAUUUGAGAUCAUGGUAAGUUUGCCAUUUCCUCCUGUCCUUCAUUCCUAAACUACCCUUUUCCUUCAUGAAUUCCUUUUCAAGACUAAUUUAAAUGGGCAUUGCUAUGGUAUUUUACUGCAUUGUGUCCAUCUCUUAAACAUAGGGGAGAAAAAUCUCAGGAUAAGUGACCUUUCGGGAUUCCUGGUCUCCAUUUCAAAUAGUCUCUGAAUGAGAUUUUUCAGAAUGUUCAUUCUCCCAUUUUUAUACAUACAUUUAUCAUAGCUAUCCCAACAUCGUGUUAUAAUAGGGUUGCUUAUUUCUUUUUCUAUGAAUUUAUUUCAUGUGUUUGAUAGACUCAAGACCCCACUUCCUUGUAGAAAUGGUAUAUAUCUAGUUAUGUACAGUUUCUAAACAUAAUGAUUUGUAUGACUAUACUCCUGAGGAACUCUCAUGGAAAUAAGGUACAUAUAGUGCGUGGUCUACUCCCAGGAGUGCUGCCCACAUUAUUCAUCUAAAGUUUGAAGAGGCUCUCCCUCUCAGGUGCACACCUGCGCCUUUCCUGUACCCCUGUGCUUUCCCGCAGGCAUAUUACCUUUACCUGUCUAUCUCCCAAGCUCUAAGGGCCCUUCUUUUGCCUCUAUAACUUGUUUCCUGCACCCAUUUCUUCUACAACUCACUUCUUCUAGCUCUGUGACUUUCUAAAUAAGCUUUCUUAUAGUUUGUGCCUUGCCUCUGAAUUCCUUUAUUAGCCCAACUAAGUAUCGAGAAUGCUGAAUAGAGGCCCAGUCUAACUCCAUCAGUCUAACACCUGGUGCUGUUUUUGAUACUGCCAACAAGUAUUUUGGAAGGAAGAGCACAGGAGAGGGAAAGAAUCAGUGAAGACAGAGUUGAGAAUGAGCAGUAAGGAGACAGGCUGAGCCCAAGAGAAAAUAAAACGUCCAGUGAGAAACUGCUGUGACUGGAAUCACCAAAGAUUUGUAAACAACUAGAUUAUCCCUCCUACUGGAAUCCUCAGGCCUUUCAUCAUGAAGACAUCAUAGAAAAGUAGAAAGGAUUUGAAUUCAACAUUGUCAUCUUGCCCUCGGGACACCCAACAGGCUGAAAUAAUUACAACUUUCUACAAACCCUCAUAUAUGGCACAGUAAGUUAUCAAUGAAAAAACAUACUGUUGCAAACAUUUUAGUUUAUAUUUUUGUU
Long non-coding RNA from Miniopterus natalensis, 2319 nucleotides. RefSeq lists it as uncharacterized. NCBI's taxonomy places the organism in Eukaryota, Metazoa, Chordata, Mammalia, Chiroptera, Miniopteridae. The record is from RefSeq and is a predicted model, not a curated record.